AACAGCCUCUCCCUGGAAGUGAUGCUGAAGGAGGCAUCUUGGGAGCAAGCACACCCUAAAAGUAAAGCCCUGCUGCCAUUUAUUUUCUCAACACCACCCAGGAACAUUCUGGAACAUUCUCUGUAGAUGCCAACAGGUCCUUAAUAGCCUUGCCUGCACCAAAGGCCUUGAUGCGAACAAACAGCUAUUGCUGUCACCUUGGACGACUCAUCCUUCCAGCAGAUUUCAGGCAUUUCCUUGACAGUGGCUUCAAGAAUCUCAUGUUAGCAAGUAAUGCCCGGCUUUGUGGGAGACAUGGAGACCCUCAAAUGAAGAUGCAUUUCUAGGAGCUGACUGAGGUAGAGCACCGGGUAUGGAGAAACUCAGAACCAGAACCUGAAGCCCAGAAGGUCACUUCUAAGUCUGGACACACCUGGGCUGGGUAACUUGUCUCACACCAUGUGCAUGUAGACUCUAGAGCAUGGGACUUAGCUGAGAGAGAGACUAAGAGCACAUGGAGUGUCCUCUAGGGACACAGUGUGAUGUCUCUCCAAUGUGCAGAGAGAUCAUCAUGUGUUUGCCUGGAAUAGAUGUGCUUUGCAGCAUGUAGGACAGGGGGGAAAGACAACAUGUCUGCCAGGAGGAGGCAGAUUAGUAUGAUUGACAUUCAGCUCUGUUGGAUGCUCCCAUCCUCACACUGCCAUAUGCAUUGUGUGUCAAGGUGAUUGAUGGUCCCUGAGGUUACCAUGGAUUUAAGGGUGUGGUACUUGGUCCUGAAGCCAAGCAAUGACCUUUUCUCAUUAUCUGAGCAUCAUGGAUGAAGUUGGGACUCCACUGCUUUCACAGGGCUUCCUUGAGACAUCAGUGGCCUCCUGAACCCAGAGGCAUAGGCAACUGGUUUUUAGUUCCUGUAAUCCAUUCUGGAGGAUUUAUCACUGACUCCCUAGGCAAUCGCCAUGGAGGCAAAGGGUGGCUGAAUGCAAAGGUACUCAGUGAUGACCAAGAACUUCAACACACAGGUUUGUGUUUCUUCUAAGAAGCCCCAUGUAGGACAGCUAGAGGGCCAAUACUGAAGCUGGGAAGUAACACGGUAUGACCAACCUGGUCUGCUGACUGUGGAGAGAACCAGGAACUGCUGGACCUGACUCAGCCCUGGGUACAGAGACCAAGAUCUGGGGUUCUCUCAGAGGGCUCCACCCGAAGAUGGUGCAAUGGUCAAGGCCACAGACUUUGUUCCAGGUCUGGAGGACUCUCAGAGCCCCUCCACCCCGUUGGGUGGUGGUGAUAGGAGAGAUGGCAUUACGACUUUGUCCUUCACACUGCAGACGCCCUCAGCAGGGACAGCUGAUUUACAGCAAGCUUGGACAGAGCAGGAAAGGAUACAGCCCCGUUCUCCAGCCCUGCAGGAAGGUCCCAGAAUAGUUGCGGUGGGGUAGCUGUUGAAGAGGUCAAGCAGGGCUAGCCACUAUUGAAAAUGAAGGGGGCGGGUCCUCUUCCAUCUCAGAGAGAUAUCAACCAGGCUCUUUGAAGGAAAGAAAGUAAUUUCAUCACUGCAGAGCUUUGAAAUUAAUUUAUCGCAAUUAGAGCGAGAGCCCUGGUUCUGAGCACGUUCGGCUUACCGCUCAGCUCUGCGGCAGCGGCUGUGCAGCAGGAGCAUGAACUGAAGGGAACUGUUGCCAUUCCAUCUUCAGAUAUCUGAUUCCUCCCACCCAGGCCCACCAAAGUCACACAGGGGUGGGGAACCAGGCCAGACUGGAAUCCAAGCCUAGUGCCUGCGCUGACUCUGUCUGGCUAUGGGCCGCUUUGCCACUGUCCAGGCUUUGAUGACCUCAUAGUCGCGUCAUUCCCGUGGACAAGUUCCUCCACGUGCUUCUCCCCAGCUCUACAGGCAUAUCAGGUACCUUUUCUGGUGCUACGACAAAAUACCCCACAAAAGCCACUUAAGGAAGGAACAGUUUAUUCUGGCUCAUGGUUUGAGGGUAGCGUCCUUCAUGGUGGAGAAGCCAUGGUAGCAGGAAUGUGAGGCAGCUGCGCACACUGCAUCUGCAGUCAGGAAGUAGAGAGGGAUGAAUGCUGGUGCUCAACUCGCUUUUUCCAUUUUAUGCAGCCAGGGACCCCAGCCUAGGAAUGGCGCCACCCACAUUUGGAACGGGGCUUCCCAAUUGAGUUAUUCUUCCCAGGCAUAUUCAGAGGCUUUGUCUCCCAGGUGACCCUCUAUCCUGCUAAGCUGUCACUGUGGAUGAACCAGCACAGUAGACGUGUUUUCAGUUCACCCACGGCCCACACCUGAUGAGUCUCCUUCCUGUGGGGACAGGCAUCAUUCAGUCACUCUGUCAUGGUCCUCCACUGGGGGGGAGGUGCUGAGGUUACAGAGCCCUUCCUUGAGUUAGGUGUCGGGAGCACGUAGGGGAGUAGGUACACAGCUUCCCUUGUGUAGAGCACUCACUAGGAAGAUGCAUCUCCUGGGCCUGGAUGGAUGUCCUGGGCAGCUCUAACCAGUGACCACAUAGCGGAAGCUUACAGCAACAGAGUUGACACAGUGUGCAGUGGAGGUGUUAGUGGGGCCGUGAUCCCUCUGGGGACUCUCGGGGAGGGCCCUUCCUGUCUCCUCCCACUCUUUGUGACUCCAGGUGAACUCGAACUGUGGUCAUGCUACUUGUAUCUCUACCUCCCUAUUCACGUGGUUGACUUCUUUUUGUGUCUCUGAGCAUCUCCCCCUUCCCCCAUAGAUCCCUGGCUAUUAGAUAUGGGGUUCAGCCCACUUGUUAAGAUUAAUUGUUACCGUCUACUUGGCUGGAUUUAGGAUCACUGUAGAAGCGCGUUGUACAGUGUCUAUAAGGAGGCCUCCCAAUGAAGAAAGACCCGCCCUGCAUGCGGGUGGUACCAUUCCCUAGGCUGAGUUCUCCAACUGUAUAAAAGGACAGCGCUCAACACCAGCAUUCGUGUCUCUCUGCUUCUUGACUGCAGACGCAGUGUGACCUCAAGCCCCUGCGUCAGUGGCUUCUUUACCAUGGUAGUUUGUGCCCUCAUACUGCCAGCCAAAAUGAACCCUGCCAUCUUUAAGCAGUUUCUGUCAGGUGUUUUCUCAUACCAACAGGUGGUAACUUAGCCGUUUGACCCUUAUCUUUAUCACCAAGCAAGGUCACAUUCUACAUUCUGAGGCAAAUGGAUUUGGGGUAAAUGACAUUUGGCUCCCAGCAGUGUUCCUUCUAACUCUCUACUCUCUGAAUUGUGCACAAUUUUUGGGGGGGGGACAGAACAAGGUAUAUGUAUGUGUAUUAUAUAUAAAAGGCGGGAUUUACUGAGUUGCCUUAUACCAGACAGACUGGAGAACCAGAUAACUUGGUGGCUACCCAAUCCACAAAUCUUAGCAGCAGCCCCAAUUUGAUGCUGAAGGCCUAGAAGCCUUGGACAGUUGGACUUGAGUCCAAAGUAAAAGGUCAAAGAAGCUGGUGUUUGGUGGACUUUUGGUCCUGCAUGCUUUGCCUUCUUUGGCCUAGCCCUAGCAUCCGGGAGUCACCCCAUUGUGAGGCACAGCCCAUGCUGACGGUGGACGUUUUCCUCCUGGUGAUUGUUCUGCAUGUCAGCUGUUUCCCCACAUACAGGCACCCAGGUCUGUCUCACCGACAUUUCUUAAAUCAGGCAGGCUAACCAGCAAGAGAAAAGGUCUCAUGGGGGGAACAGCUGGGGCCUGUGGGGCCAUUACUACUCCCCUACCCAAGUCCAUACUCCUUCGCUGACCAUAGCCUCACAACAGUCCCCCGAACCCCAGCCUUGUACUCUCUGGGUCAUACCAGAUUUUCACGAGGUCACAAGGCCCAGAGUGCCCUUGGGAUAGAACUGCGCUUCUCACCCCAAUGGAGCAGGCUCUUUGCAUCCUGCUGCAUCUGCUGAGCACUGUGGAUGCCGGCUGAGACUUGCCCAUCAGACUGGUCUCUGAGGAUGAACUCUGGGAGGUGGUACCUUAUUCCCAGUAUCCAGGGACUGAGGUAGGAUGGUGGACAACAGAGCCGCUGACGGGACCCUUAGACUCACUGGAGCGUCACUCCUCUGAGUGGUUCUCUGUGGUCCUCAUCAGAGCAUCUCCCACCCCCUAUUAGUUAAAUCUGUCCCAUUGGUACUUGUAACAUGAUGGAAACUCGAGAGAAGCAUCCCAGGGCCCAGGAGCUGCCGCCUGCCAUCACUGUGGAAAAUAAAUCUCCUUCCCUGAUAGCAGGCAGUGUCUGCAGUAUUUCAUAAUUGGCGAGAUGAAGAGCCCCGGUUUUUUGAGAUGUUUGGGAAUAACUCAGUUUAAAAGACCACGUCCUAACAACCGGAAUGGGCCGAUUAUGCCAGGAUAAUCCACUGAGAAUCAUUGCUGCACACGGUAGGGAAAUGAGUCUGAAUGAUUGCCAAAAGUUUGCUGAGAGUCUCACGUUCCCACUGCCAGGAGACACGUUAACGCCCAUUUGUUAAAAAUGUUUUUGAGGUUUAUUUCCAAUAGAAGGAUUUGUUUCAUUUAAGUGUGUCCUCCAAAAUGCUUACUGUGACAAGGCCA
Mesocricetus auratus (golden hamster) is the source of this 4516-nucleotide long non-coding RNA. RefSeq lists it as uncharacterized. The transcript has 3 exons. Lineage: Eukaryota; Metazoa; Chordata; Mammalia; Rodentia; Cricetidae. The record is from RefSeq and is a predicted model, not a curated record.